AUGGCGGUUGAAAGGUCUGGAAUUUCUAAAGAUGUUACAGAAUUGAUUGGAAAAACCCCUUUAGUAUAUCUGAACAAAAUCACGGAUGGUUCUGUUGCUCGCGUUGCCGCGAAACUUGAAUUGAUGGGGCCAUGUUCCAGUGUUAAAGACAUGAUUGGCUAUAGUAUGAUUACUGAUGCAGAGGAGAAAGGGGCUUAUUACGCCUGGCAAGAGUGUCUUCAUUGA
This is a non-coding RNA of Vicia faba (fava bean), 225 nucleotides long. NCBI's taxonomy places the organism in Eukaryota, Viridiplantae, Streptophyta, Magnoliopsida, Fabales, Fabaceae. The record is from the annotation of a GenBank genome assembly.